UAAUAAUGUGGAAACAUGUGCUGAAAGUACAUAAGGUUCAAUACUGAACAUAAUUGAAUAACAUAACAUCUGGGUGGGAUAAUAGAAUACCCAAAACAAAAUUGAAGUCUAAAACAUGAUAGUCUGUAUCUAGUCUACAUCUAUUCUGAAAUCCUCUACUAUCUAAAUAAUUUGAAUAAGGAGUUGAUGGGAUAUGUCCCCAACUAACUCAUAUUAAUUACUAAUCUAUG
Molecule: long non-coding RNA, 230 nt
Filed under: Capsicum annuum
Lineage: Eukaryota; Viridiplantae; Streptophyta; Magnoliopsida; Solanales; Solanaceae
Description: long non-coding RNA (CANN_LNC007956)
Source: RNAcentral